This 491-nucleotide ribosomal RNA is filed under the name uncultured bacterium. RNAcentral's name for it is "bacterial SSU rRNA". It matches the Rfam family "Bacterial small subunit ribosomal RNA", at positions 25 to 518 of the family's 1533-position model. The record is from RNAcentral.
CAGGACGAACGCUGGCGGCGUGCUUAAUACAUGCAAGUCGAGCGAGCUACUUCGGUAGCGAGCGGCGCACGGGUGAGUAACGCGUAGAUGAUCUACCCUUGAGACGGAGAUACCUCCGGGAAACUGGAGUUAAUACCCGAUAACGCACAUUGGUUGGUUCCGAUGUGUUAAAGCGGUGCAAGUCGCACUUGAGGAUGAGUCUGCGGCCUAUCAGCUAGUUGGUGGGGUAACGGCCUACCAAGGCGAAGACGGGUAGCUGAUCUGAGAGGAUGAUCAGCCACAUUGGGACUGAGACACGGCCCAAACUCCUACGGGAGGCAGCAGUAGGGAAUAUUGCGCAAUGGGGGGAACCCUGACGCAGCGACGCCGCGUGAGUGAUGACGGCCUUUUUGGUUGUAAAGCUCUGUAAAGAGGGAAAAAUGUUUAUGUGAAGAGCAUAAAUUGAUGGUACCUCUAAAGUAAGGACCGGCUAAAUACGUGCCAGCCGCUGC